Molecule: ribosomal RNA, 30 nt
Filed under: Dicranum brevifolium
Lineage: Eukaryota; Viridiplantae; Streptophyta; Bryopsida; Dicranales; Dicranaceae
Description: partial 26S ribosomal RNA
Source: RNAcentral
UGAUCAGGGAAGACUACCCGCUGAGUUUAA